UACGGGGGGUGCGAGCGUUGUCCGGAAUCACUGGGCGUAAAGGGCGCGUAGGUGGUUUGAUAAGGGUGUGGUGAAAGUCCGGGGCUCAACCCCGGAUCUGCCGUGCCGACUGUCAAACUCGAGGGCUGUAGAGGCAGACGGAAUUCCGGGUGUAGCGGUGGAAUGCGUAGAGAUCCGGAGGAACACCGGUGGCGAAGGCGGGUCUCUGGGCCGAUACUGACGCUGAGGAGCGAAAGCGUGGGGAGCGAACAGG
Molecule: ribosomal RNA, 253 nt
Filed under: uncultured bacterium
Lineage: Bacteria
Description: partial 16S ribosomal RNA
Rfam family: Bacterial small subunit ribosomal RNA
Source: RNAcentral